UAAAUGAAUUAUUGAAGAAAAAACUAAAAAAGAAAAUAUAAUGUAACAAAAGCCAAGAGAACUAAAGCAAAGAGCAGAUUGUCUCCAUCUUCAUCUUAGCUGUGUAAAUUUGGAGAAGAUCGGUUAUUGCAAUCCAUGACUGCAAAUCUCACUCCUAAGAUAAGAACUUUUUGAAUCUCAUUUCGAACCAGAAAAUCUCCAACAUCAACAUUCAAAAUAAUUUUGGAGAGCUGAUGGUUUGCACUUUUUCGAAUCUUCCAGAUCUUUAUCCGUCCUAAACUAGGAGAAUCUCCCAGAUCUUUAUCCGUCCUAAUCUUGGAGAGCUGAUGAAUUGUAAAUUUGCUGCAUCAGAUUGGAAAUUGCAUGUCUCCAUCGACCCAUCGCUACAGUUUCAUAGUUCAUCACAUUGGCACAUCUAAAUUGGAGAGCUACAAAUCGCUAUAUAUGAUGAGAUAUACAAAUCGCCUAAAGUGGAGAGUUACAGAUGAAGGAAGAAUUCACAUCAGCUGUAAAUCACCUAAAUUUGCAACUCAAGCUCUAUCAGAUGCAUCAAUUUCUGCUAAAAAGACCCAUAUUGGUGUGAAAAGAAGUUUACAAGUAAAAUGAGUUCAAAUCGUCAAUGGAUGUACAAAAGAGUAACAAAAAGUCUGUAUGAUCCUGAAUUCCUAAGAGCUGUACAACAAUUUAUUGAGUUCGCUAUGAGUCAUCCAGAAGGAAGGGAUGGUGAGAGACUAAGGUGCCCAUGUAACCGAAAGAAAUGUCAGAAUAGAAACUUUGAAAAUGUUCAUAUUGUCCAUGGGCAUUUAUUAAAAGAAGGUUUUUUACCGGGAUAUCAUGUAUGGUAUUUGUAUGGAGAGAGUGAAGUUGCAGAAACUAUAGAUCAAAAUGAAAGAAUGCACAACUGGAAACAUACUAUGAAUAACCUGCUGGUUGAUGUUAGUGAAUUUGAUGAUCCUGGACCUAGCACGUCUUAUCAUAGAAUGGUUCAUGAGGUUGCUGGUCCCGCAUUUGUUCCAGAUGAUAUGGAGGAAUUACCUAAUCCUGAUGCCUAACAUUUUAAUGAUAUGAUUGAUUCUGCAAAUCAAGAAGUGUGGCCUGGUUGUGAAACACACUCAAAAUUAUCAGUUGUUGCUCGUUUGUUGCAUAUAAAGGUUGAACAUCACCUCUCUGUAAGAUGAUCUGAUGAUAUUUAUCAAUAUGUGAAUGAGAUGAUUCCUCCUGAUAAUGUGAUGCCAAAAAAUUUCUAUGAAACUAAAAAGUUAAUGAGGGGAAUGAACAUGCCUGUUGAAAAAAUUCAUUCUUGUGUCAAUGCAUGCAUGAUUUACUGGGGAGAGGAUAGUGAACUUGUGAAUUGCAAGUUUUGUAGUCAUCCCAGGUAUAAGCCUACAAGUCAAAGAUCUAUUCAGAAGAAAAAUCGUGUACCAUUCAAACAGAUGUAUUACUUUCCUCUUACUCAACGACUGCAACGAAUGUAUGCUUCCACAGCAACUGCUUCACACAUGCGAUGGCACGCUGAACAUGAACUUGAGGAAGGUGUGAUGCGUCACUGUUCAGAUGCACCUGCAUGGAAGCACUUUGAUAAGAUGCAUCCAUCUUUUUUAGAGGAAAGUCGUAAUGUUAGAUUGGGACUGUCCAGCGAUGGGUUUCAGCCAUUUGGUCAAACAGGAAAGCAAUUUUCAUCUUGGCCAAUAAUUGUGACACCAUACAACUUGCCUCCUUGGAUGUGUAUGAAAGAUCCAUAUUUAUUUUUAUCUGUUAUAGUUCUUGGACCAAAGAAUCCUAAGCAGCAACUAGAUGUUUUCUUGCAGCCUUUGAUUUCUGAGUUGAAGAACCUAUGGAAUAUAGGUGUCAACACAUAUGAUAUCUCUAAGAAGAAAAAUUUUCAAAUGCGAGCUGCACUGAUGUGGACAAUCAGUGACUUUCCUACAUAUUCAAUGUAGUCUGGAUGGAGUACUGCAGGCAGGCUAGCCUGUCCAUACUAUAUGGAGAAUUUUGAUGCUUUUACUUUGACAAAGAGUGGCAAGCAGUCCUGGUUUGACAACCACUGUAAGUUUCUGCCGCUGAAUCAUCCAUACAGAAAGGAUAAGAACUCAUUUAGAAAGAACAGGGUAUUAACCAUGCCGCCUACCCUAUUACGGUCAGGGGAAGAUGUCUUAAAAGAGAUAGAAGAACUAGGACUUAAAAAGGUAACAGAACUUGGGGAUGAUAUUAUUAAUCGUCAGAUUGAUAAGUUUUCUAGUUGGAAGAAGAGAGCACAUUAUGGGAUUUGGCAUAUUGGAGUACCAAUCUUUUUCGGCAUAAUCUAGAUGUAAUGCACAUUGAGAACUUCUUUGAUAAUGUGUUCAACACAGUGCUGGAGGUAGAUGGUAAAACAAAAGAUAAUCCCAAAUCAAGAGAAGACUUGAAAUAGUUCUGUCGACGCCCUAAAUUACUAGUUGUUGAUGGAAAGUACCCGAAAGCUAUUUACACACUGAAAGAAGAGUCAAAAAAAUUGUUGUGUGAAUGGAUGAAAAGUCUAAAAUUUCCUGAUGGAUAUGUCUCAAAUAUGGGAAGGUGUGUGGACAUGAAAAAACACAAGUUAUUCGGUAUGAAAAGUCACGAUUGUCAUGUAUUCAUGCAAAAAUUGGUACCUGUUGCAUUCCGUGAGUUAUUACCCAAAAAAGUGUGGGAAGUAUUUACAGAGAUGAGCCUUUUUUUAGGGAUAUCACUUCUAUAGUAAUUCGUGAAGAGGAUAUGGUAAGACUACAACAAGAAAUACCUGAAAUACUUUGUAAAUUAGAGCGAAUAUUCCCUCCUAGCUUCUUUGACUCAAUGGAGCAUCUCCUUGUGCAUCUCGCUUACGAAGCAAUGAUAGAUGGUCCGGUACAAUAUCGAUGGAUAUAUCCAUUUGAGAGAUUCAGGUUCUCAGCAUCCAGAUCACGCAUAGAUCGAUUCCCAAUCUCUAGUUCAGCGGAUUCAGUGGCCCGUGUCCACAUAGAUAAUCAGUUCAUCAAAGCGCUUGCAGAAGGUCCAUGUCGAUCAGCGAAGCAGUACACUGGUUAUAAUGUCAACGGCUUUAAAUUUCAGAGUGAAGGACACAGUUUGUCUAGAUCAUCUAAUAACAGUGGAGUUUGCAUAAAAGGAACAAAUUAUAGUGCAGAUGAGAAUUACUUCAAUGGUGUGCUUACUGAAAUUCUUGAAAUGGAGUACAAGGGCAGUACACCAAUCAAAAGAACUGUUUUAUUUAAAUAUGAUUGGUUUGACCCUACACCAAACGUAGGAAUGAAGAUUCACCGACAAUAUAAACUUGUGGAUAUCAAUCAUAGAAGAAAAUUGAGGAAGUAUGAAUCAUUUGUUUUGGCAAUGCAAGCGUCUCAAGUGUAUUAUGCUAUUUAUCCUAGCUUACGACGUGAUAAGAAUGAUUGGUGGGUUGUGUGCAAAACAAAAGCUCGGUGUAUUGUGGAUAUGCCUCCAUCAUCUUUGGUGUCCCCUCCAGUAGAUGUUUUAGAGCCUUUCCAAUGUGAUGAAGAUGGUUUAAAAUUUGAUGUGGUGGCUGAUAGUGAAACUAUUAUCCGGAAUGAUCCAAACGGAAACUUAAGAGACGAGGAUGAUAAUUUAGAUGAUGAAACAGAGUUUCAUGAUGAAUUAGAAUCAGAAUCAGAUGAUGAAUGAGAAUGAAGAGGUGUACUAUGAAAGUGGCAGUGAAUAGAGUCAAAAUUCUCCAAUCUCUUCAAAUAUAGGAGUUAGAGUUACUAAAAUAUAUGGCACCUAGGGGGGUGGACGUAGUAGAUAUUCUGGAAAAGGAUAGCAGAUCCAGUGGAAUAUCCUCCAAUGUCGAUCUUUGCACGUGAUCAAGCACCACCAUUGCCUGAACUACCAAUACCAGUUACGCCAGAUUCAGUUGUAGUCAACAUAUGGGGACCAUCUUCAUCUGUGGGGAUCGAAAUACCAAGGAAUGACAUUGUAUCCACAACUUCGUCAAAUACAACUAAUGGUACCCACAUCCCAAUUGAAAUCGUCAUGGGACGUUAGGAGCCAAGUAACAAUGUAUCUCGGGCGAUCACAAAAAUCUUUAAGGAAAAAUUGGAUCCUGAAGGACAUGAUUGGUAGUCAAUUACUGCAGAGAUUAAGGACUUCUACUGGGAGGAGUUUAAGAAGCGAUUCCAUUGGAAUAUUACAAUUGAAGGUUCCAUAAAGGAUAAUUUUAUGCAAACAAGUUCAAUACAAUACAAGGGUGUGUUAUGUGAAGCAAGAUCCUAUGAGGAGAACCGAAAUAAUAUUCCAAAAUCUAUUUGGGAGAGAUGGAAACCUCACUAUGAUACUGAGCAUUUUAAGGCUAAAUAUGCACAAUGUUCCAAAAAUAGACUAAGUGAGAAAUGUGGUGAAGGAUCUGGUCCCUCGCGCCAUACUGGAGGCUCCGGGACUCACCGAGAGCAUGCAAGACAAUUGUUUUAGGCGAAUGUUCUUGGACGACCACCUUAUCCUCAUGAACUUUUGAAGAAGACACAUACCAAAGGAAACGAUGAGUUUUUUGAUCUGAAGUCAAAGAGAACAUAUGAUGCUGUAAUGUCUAAGAUCACAUCUGCAUCACAACUUGAAGAUGAAUCUGGUGACUCUGGGACAGUAGUUUUCAAAGAUUUACAUGGAUGAAGUGGGUGGGGUUAAGAAAGCGUGCAUAUAUGGUCUUUGUUCUCAAGCAGUAUUCUAUGAGAACAUUGGUUCAUCGUCUGCUUCAACUACUCAACCUCAAGAUUGUAGUUUUGAUGCUCGAGUGAAGGAAUAUGUUCAUGAAAUGAAGGAGGCAAUGAAGCAUGAGAUGAGAGAAGAGAUACAACAUGAAUUGCGUGAAGAAAUGAAACAUAAAAUGCAGCUAGAAAUGCAAGAGCAAGUUGAUAAGAUUCUCCAAGCACGUUUGCCGACCCUCAUAGCUGGGCUGCCUAAACCAGCCCCUAGUACACUUCCCACUGGUACACCUCCAAUUGGUACACCACCUUAGCUUAGACAUGACCCAUUAUCAAAUAAUGAUAUAAGUCAUUUUAUUUUUUCAAACUAUGCCAAGUAGAUUUUGCAUUGUUUGUUUCGUAUUUGGAUUUAUUUUGAACUAUUCAUCUUAGAUUUUGUAUUGUUUUUCCCUUAUUUGGAUUCAUUUUGAACUCUUCAUCUUAGGUUUUGCAUUG
RNA transcript from Solanum pennellii, 5156 nucleotides. RefSeq lists it as uncharacterized. NCBI's taxonomy places the organism in Eukaryota, Viridiplantae, Streptophyta, Magnoliopsida, Solanales, Solanaceae. The record is from RefSeq and is a predicted model, not a curated record. The transcript is spliced from 9 exons.